GGCGCGGUGGUGGAAUCGGUAUACACAGGAGAUUUAAAAUCUCCCGGUCCUAGACCUUGCGAGUUCGAGUCUCGCCCGCGCUACCA
This 86-nucleotide transfer RNA is filed under the name Flavobacteriales bacterium. RNAcentral describes it as "tRNA-Leu". It matches the Rfam family "tRNA". Rfam says of the family: Transfer RNA (tRNA) molecules are approximately 80 nucleotides in length. The record is from RNAcentral. Lineage: Bacteria; Pseudomonadati; Bacteroidota; Flavobacteriia; Flavobacteriales.